CCUAAAGCGUUCGUAGCCGGUUUAGUAAAUUCUUGGGUAAAUCGUACAGCUUAACUGUGCGGAUUCCGGGGACACUACUAGACUUGAGACCGGGAGAGAUUAGAGGUACUUGCAGGGGAGCGGUGAAAUGUUGUAAUCCUGCAGGGACCACCAGUGGCGAAGGCGUCUAAUCAUAACGGCUCUGACGGUGAGGAACGAAACCCUGGGGCGCAAACGGGAUUAGAUACCCCGGUAGUCCAGGGCGUAAACGCUGCUGACUUGGUGUUGGAGAUCCUACGAGGGUGUCCAGUGCUGGCGCGAAGGUAUUAAGUCAGCCGCCUGGGGAGUACGGUCGCAAGACUGAAACUUAAAGGAAUUGGCGGGGGAGCACUGCAACGUGUGGAGCGUGCGGUUUAAUUGGAUUCAACGCCGGAAAACUCACCGGGGGCGACGGUUACAUGAAGGCCAAGCUGAUGACUUUGCCUGAUUUUCCGAGAGGUGGUGCAUGGCCGCCGUCAGUUCGUACCGUAAGGCGUUCUGUUAAGUCAGAUAACGAACGAGACCUCCGUCACCAUUUGCUAUCUUCUUCUCCGGAAGGGGAGCACUAUGGUGGUACCGCCGCUGUUAAAGCGGAGGAAGGAGGGGGCAACGGUAGGUCAGUAUGCCCCGAAUCUCCCGGGCUACACGCGCGCUACAAAGGGCAGGACAAUGGGCUUCGACACCGAAAGGUGAAGGCAAUCCUGAAACCUGCUCGUAAUUCGGAUUGAGGGCUGCAAUUCGCCCUCAUGAAGCUGGAAUACGUAGUAAUCGCGGGUCAACAUCCCGCGGUGAAUAUGCCCCUGCUCCUUGCACACACCGCCCGUCAAACCACCUUAGUUGGGUCUGGACGAGGGUUUGUCUUCUGACACGCUCGAAUCUGGGUUCAGCGAGGAGGGUUAAGUCGUAACAAGGUAUCCGUA
This 938-nucleotide ribosomal RNA is filed under the name marine metagenome. RNAcentral describes it as "bacterial SSU rRNA". It matches the Rfam family "Archaeal small subunit ribosomal RNA", at positions 509 to 1451 of the family's 1478-position model. The record is from RNAcentral.